RNAcentral lists this long non-coding RNA (3265 nucleotides) under Homo sapiens (human). Its description in RNAcentral is "HSALNT0037953". Lineage: Eukaryota; Metazoa; Chordata; Mammalia; Primates; Hominidae. The record is from RNAcentral.
GCUUCGGCGGCCACGCCCCCAGCGGGGAGCCGGUCCACGUGGGGCGGGACAGCCCCCUCCCUGCGGCCUCGCCCUGGAGUCUCGGCACCGUCUGGCCCCGCCGGCUGAUUACAGCCAGAGAUCGAGGGGGACCUCGCUGUCCCCCUAGAGGCCGUCAUGCGGGGUUACAGAGGCUGCGACCAAAGUCAUUCCUAGCUCCUCUCUCGGGGCUCCGGAAAGCCGUCCGCGCCUCCAGCCGCACUUUCAGCGCACGCAGGACCUGCCGCGCCCGGUGGCCACACCCGUCCCUCUGCCGGGUGACGCUGCGGGAGAUCUUGCGCCCUGGGGCUCCGGAUCCAGUUCUGGCACGUUGUUGCACCUGUGACUUGUCCUUGGCCUGGCACUGUCCCUCGCCUGGGGGAAGCGGGGGGGUGGGGGGGGGAUGCUCACGUGGUCGCUUUGCUCCCGCAGUCAUGCACUUGGGUGAAAACAGACUGAAGAGUCACGGGAACCAGCUUGUCUCCCCAGUUAUGGCGCAGAGCUGCAAGGAUGGCUGUGGGUCAUUAAUUUCUCCGUGGCUGACCUGUGUUUGUAACGCCGCAGCUGUUGCGAGGGGGAAGGACACUGCUUCGGAUUCAAAUUCUGACUCCUUGCUGCAGUGUGUCACCUUGAGCCAGUCCCAGAUCUCUGCGUUCUCACAAUUGUAAAAUGUUAACAGAGGCUGCCUACCUUGUGGCUGGAAUUAAAUGAAUUAACGUGUGUGAAUGUGACUAGAAUUCAGUACAUGUUCAGGAAAAGCUGAUUUCCGCUUUGCUGUUACCGUGAAUAUUACUGUUUUAGGGUGUAGAAAAGGGUGGAAGGGGAUGUUAUUGCAUCCUGGAAGCUUAUCCUUUUGAGGUCUGUGAUAGUAGGUAGCUCUUCAAGUUGGCAAACACCUGCUGGACAACCCCUGAGAGAUUCAUCUGAGUGAGAGAGCACUCUCCAGCCCCAUCGGAGUGGGUUUGCAGGGAAAUCAUAAGGUAGAGAUUCAAAGGAAUUCCCUUGCGUUGCAAAUGAAAACUGUAUCUUCAGACUCUGAUAUAGUGUAAUCCUUCCUUUUUAGGAAGAAAUCCUUAUCUUUCCAACACUGAGAUGCUUCUGCCGAAGAGUAGAAUGGGAGGUGAGGAAUUGGGGUGGGCCCUCACUGCUUUGCCUCCGGAUCAGUAGGGUACAGCCCUUGGAGACCAGGAUCUUCCUUGGCUGGGACACCUUCGUCCUCCCCUAAGGGAGGAGAGGUAGGGAUCUGCCUGUGGAAAGAAGUUACAGUGCCUUUUAAAUAGAAAUAGGAGGUAGGAGGACCGUCAGUUGUCAGUUCGUGCACAAAUGGCAUUGUUUCUGGCCUUAUCUCUGAAUGCUGAGGAAACAGGUCAGAGAUCCUAAAGAGAAUCUAAUCUCUUAGAAUCCAGGCAUUGGCACAAACCCCCUCUAGCAUCUUAGGGAGGUGGUUUGGUGUAGUGGUUAAACACAUAGACUGUAAGACCAAACCACCUGCUCUGUCACUCACUAGUCCUGUGACCAUAGGCAAAUAAAUUAUCUGCCUCAGUUUCCUGAUCUGUAAAGGGGUGAGAUUGAGACUUCUAACUCACAGUGCUGUUGUGAGGACCAAAUGAAUGAAUAUAUGUAAAGCCCUUGUAAAAGGGCUCUUAUUCUCUUUGUUCAAUAACUAGCUGAAGGCCUGUCAUACAUAGCCCAUGUUUAAAAUGAAGUAUGUGUCAGAUGUCAGGACCACCCUCUUCUCCCUGCCCUCUGAUCCAAGCCCUUUCAAAUUUCUCCCACGGCUCAUAGUGAGGGGACACGCAAAACGGGCUGCUGCCGGAGGAAGAGGAACAGUGUUGUGGCUCAUGCCAUAUGAAUGGGCUCACUGGCCUGGCCCAGACCCUGACUGCCCACAGGAUCUUUGGUGAGUCACUGUCACUGAGCCUGUGAGCCUAGGGUCCCUCUCCAACCUCACCCUCAGAGAGGACAGAACAAGAUGACCUGUGGCAUGCUGCAGAACACCAUGUUGGGGACUGUGGGUUUAGAGUCCUCUUGGGGACAUGUCCAUCGUUCACUAAUUCGGUGGAGUUGAGCUGCUGAGAGCUAGGAAAGCUACUCUCCCCCCGGAUCCCAACCUAGCCCUGUGGAAGACCAGACAAAAGAAGGAAGCAAUGACAUUUCUGCACUUUUUAGUUCAGAGAGGCACAGUCAAGGAAAUGCAUUUGAGGUCACUGUUCGAUGUACUUGAAGUACUCAUCCUGGAAAUAGUCUACUUGGAGUAGAGGGAGCUCAAGUGGGCAUGGGAACGUUGUGGAACCAGACCAGGAACAAAGGCGGCUUCAGAGGCCGUCUGUGAGGACUUGCAUGGGAGCAGGGGCGAGAACAUCCAGGGAAGAGAAGGUAGGAGCCUUGGAGUAAAGGAGAACCAGCUCCUCUCCACCCACCAAUGCCCUCCCCAUCCCCAGAUGAAUGAGGUAAUAAUAAUACCUGUAGCUGGACAUGGUGGCUCAAGCUUGUAAUCCCAGCAUUUUGGGAGGCCAAGGCGGGUGGAUCACCUGAGGACGGGAGUUCGAGACCAGCCUAUCAACAUGGAGAAACCCUGUCUCUACUAAAAAUACAAAAAUUAGUUGGGCACGGUGGUGCAUGGCUGUAAUCCCAGCUACUUGGGAGGCUGAGGCAGGAGAAUCACUUGAACCCGGGAGGCGGAGAUUGCGGUGAGCCAAGAUCGUGCCAUUGCACUCCAGCCUGGGCAACAAGAGCAAAACUCCAUCUCAAAAUAAUAAUAAUAAUAAUAUCUGUGAUGCAGUUGAAUGCUUACUGUGUGCCAGGUACUAUUUCAGGUGCUCUGCAUGGAUUAUCUCAGGUGAUGCUCUCAAUAAAUCUCAGAUGAGGUAUUUUCCCCUUACUUUAUAGACAGAGAAACGGAGGCACAGAGAAGGAAGCGGCAGUUAAAGCUGCGAAGAACCUAACAAAUUUCAAGAUUGUAAGUGCCUUUUCCCAGGAUGCCAGCAAGUACUGAGGCAAGUAUGAUUGCCCUAGGUGCCAACUCUUAUUUGCACUUAACACAUUUACUUCCUCCUUCUUUCCCCCUCCUUUUUAUUAACUCUGUUGCUUUUACAGCCUGUAUUUUGAGCUGCAUCAAACCCUGUUGGAAUAAAAAAGGACAUUUCUAGGAGAUCAGUCUUCGAGAUUGGCCCCAGUUUCCCCAGAGUAGGAAGAGGCAGGAAGCCAGAGCACAUGUUCUCUCCAGAAAUAAAGUUGUUGCAGUGGC